Molecule: long non-coding RNA, 555 nt
Filed under: Capsicum annuum
Lineage: Eukaryota; Viridiplantae; Streptophyta; Magnoliopsida; Solanales; Solanaceae
Description: long non-coding RNA (CANN_LNC011927)
Source: RNAcentral
GGAUAAGCAAAAUUAGCAAAAAGCAUAAAUAGUUACAAGAGUAAAGAUGACGAAAGAGAUGAGAAUAGGUAAUUGAGAAAAUGGAUGAGGUGGUGGAGUAUCAUAUAGCAAAACUGGAAGCUUAAAGGACGAAAAUAUCCUCCAAUGCCAAGCAAGCGCUUCAACGAUGCAGCUGUACAGGCUUCAGGUUCUUUUCUGCAUCUUCUUCCCAAAUAAUUGUAACGCUCUAUUAAAUGACAGUUAAAAAUUAUCAAUCAUAAAAUGAUUUAGUCCACAGUUGAACACAAAAAAGAGUACCAAAAGAUGUUGUAUAAAUAAAACACUAACCAAAAUCAUUCAUGAAACUACAGAUAAUAGAAAAUCAAAAUUAAGAUGAUGGAAAGACGGCGGAAGGUAGAAGAGUAAAACUGUGGAAGAAAUGCCAAUAAACAGAGAGAUGAUGGAGAGACGGUGGAAGAUAGAAGAGUAAAAUGGUGGAAGAGAUGAGAAUAAACAGAGAAUGGAUAAACAAACGGUGGAGUUCAGCUGUAAAUUUGAAACCUUAAAAGACAAAAA